Molecule: long non-coding RNA, 381 nt
Organism: Magnolia sinica
Lineage: Eukaryota; Viridiplantae; Streptophyta; Magnoliopsida; Magnoliales; Magnoliaceae
Exons: 3
Source: RefSeq, a predicted model, not a curated record
CCACGAGGAGGGCGUACUGUCCACACCGCUGCAUGUGACCCUUGACGACUGGCGGAUACUCUGCGAGAGAUUUUUAUCUGAAUCUUUUCAGAAAUGAGCAGAAUAAAUUCUAACAACAGGGAAAAGUUAGAAGUGAACCACGUAGCUGGUUCAAAGUCAUUUGUACAACUUCGUCACGACAUGCGAGAUUCUGUCACUGGCCAGGAGCCCAGACUAGUAGACCUCUACAGAGGGACUCACUGUCGGUAGGCGAUGGGAUCUUGGGUACAUCCUAGAGCCAGCAAGAAUUGGGUAAAAAUCCUUACAUUAUAAAAUUUAAUUGCAUUGAAUUAUAAUAAUGUCAUUCAUUAUGAAAAUUUAUAUGUUUUCAUUACAGGCGGC